UGGAAACUNUCUGACUUGAGUGCAGAAGGGGAGAGUGGAAUUCCAUGUGUAGCGGUGAAAUGCGUAGAUAUAUGGAGGAACACCAGUGGCGAAAGCGGCUNUCUGGUCUGUCACUGACGCUGAGGCUCGAAAGCGUGGGUAGCGAACAGGAUUAGAUACCCUGGUAGUNCACGCCGUAAACGAUGAGUGCUAGGUGUUAGGCCCUUUCCGGGGCUUAGUGCCGGAGCUAACGCAAUAAGCACUCCGCCUGGGGAGUACGACCGCAAGGUUGAAACUCAAAGGAAUUGACGGGGGCCCGCACAAGCGGUGGAGCAUGUGGUUUAAUUCGAAGCAACGCGAAGAACCUUACCAGGUCUUGACAUCCCGAUGCUAUUCUUAGAGAUAGGAAGUUACUUCGGUACAUCGGAGACAGGUGGUGCAUGGUUGUCGUCAGCUCGUGUCGUGAGAUGUUGGGUUAAGUCCCGCAACGAGCGCAACCCUUAUUGUUAGUUGCCAUCAUUAAGUUGGGCACUCUAGCGAGACUGCCGGUAAUAAACCGGAGGAAGGUGGGGAUGACGUCAAAUCAUCAUGCCCCUUAUGACCUGGGCUACACACGUGCUACAAUGGUCGGUACAACGAGUUGCGAGCCGGUGACGGCAAGCUAAUCUCUGAAAGCCGAUCUCAGUUCGGAUUGGAGGCUGCAACUCGCCUCCAUGAAGUCGGAAUCGCUAGUAAUCGCGGAUCAGCACGCCGCGGUGAAUACGUUCCCGGGCCUUGUACACACCGCCCGUCACACCACGGGAGUUUGUAACACCCGAAGUCGGUGAGGUANCCUUUUAGGGGCCA
RNAcentral lists this ribosomal RNA (825 nucleotides) under uncultured bacterium. Its description in RNAcentral is "bacterial SSU rRNA". It matches the Rfam family "Bacterial small subunit ribosomal RNA", at positions 627 to 1451 of the family's 1533-position model. The record is from RNAcentral.